RNAcentral lists this ribosomal RNA (253 nucleotides) under uncultured bacterium. RNAcentral's name for it is "partial 16S ribosomal RNA". It matches the Rfam family "Bacterial small subunit ribosomal RNA", at positions 524 to 776 of the family's 1533-position model. The record is from RNAcentral.
GACGUAGGGCGCGAGCGUUGUCCGGAUUUAUUGGGCGUAAAGAGCUCGUAGGCGGCUUGUCGCGUCGUCCGUGAAAACCUGGGGCUCAACCCCAGGCUUGCGGUCGAUACGGGCAGGCUAGAGUUCGGUAGGGGAGACUGGAAUUCCUGGUGUAGCGGUGAAAUGCGCAGAUAUCAGGAGGAACACCGAUGGCGAAGGCAGGUCUCUGGGCCGAUACUGACGCUGAGGAGCGAAAGCGUGGGGAGCGAACAGG